RNAcentral lists this ribosomal RNA (334 nucleotides) under uncultured eukaryote. RNAcentral describes it as "partial 18S ribosomal RNA". It matches the Rfam family "Eukaryotic small subunit ribosomal RNA", at positions 1470 to 1796 of the family's 1831-position model. The record is from RNAcentral.
CCCUUAGAUGUCCGGGGCCGCCCGCGCGCUACACUGAAGGAAUCAGCGUGGCUUUCUCCCUGACCCGAAAGGGUUGGGAAACCCGUUGAAUCUCCUUCGUGAUAGGGAUUGGGGCUUGAAAUUGUUCCCCAUGAACGAGGAAUUCCCAGUAAGCGCGAGUCAUAAGCUCGCGUUGAUUACGUCCCUGCCCUUUGUACACACCGCCCGUCGCUACUACCGAUUGAACGGUUUAGUGAGGGCCUCGGAUUGGUCUCGGCCCGCUCUUUACCGGGCGGCGCCGUUGGUCGAGAAGACGCUCGAACUUGAUCGUUUAGAGGAAGUAAAAGUCGUAACA